This 497-nucleotide ribosomal RNA is filed under the name uncultured bacterium. RNAcentral's name for it is "partial 16S ribosomal RNA". It matches the Rfam family "Bacterial small subunit ribosomal RNA", at positions 28 to 507 of the family's 1533-position model. The record is from RNAcentral.
GAUGAACGCUGGCGGCGUGCCUAAUACAUGCAAGUCGAGCGAACGGACGAGAAGCUUGCUUUUCUGAUGUUAGCGGCGGACGGGUGAGUACCACGUGGAUAACCUACCUAUAAGACUGGGAUAACUUCGGGAAACCGGAGCUAAUACCGGAUAAUAUUUUGAACCGCAUGGUUCAAAAGUGAAAGACGGUCCUGCUGUCACUUAUAGAUGGAUCCGCGCUGCAUUAGCUAGUUGGUAAGGUAACGGCUUACCAAGGCAACGAUGCAUAGCCGACCUGAGAGGGUGAUCGGCCACACUGGAACUGAGACACGGUCCAGACUCCUACGGGAGGCAGCAGUAGGGAAUCUUCCGCAAUGGGCGAAAGCCUGACGGAGCAACGCCGCGUGAGUGAUGAAGGUCUUCGGAUCGUAAAACUCUGUUAUUAGGGAAGAACAUAUGUGUAAGUAACUGUGCACAUCUUGACGGUACCUAAUCAGAAAGCCACGGCUAACUACGUG